GACAAGAUAGCUCAAAGGUCAGAGCUCCUGUUUCAUAAGCCGGUGGUUGGGGGUUCAAAUCCCCCUCUUGUC
This 72-nucleotide transfer RNA is filed under the name Bracteacoccus aerius. Its description in RNAcentral is "tRNA-Met". It matches the Rfam family "tRNA". Rfam says of the family: Transfer RNA (tRNA) molecules are approximately 80 nucleotides in length. Their secondary structure includes four short double-helical elements and three loops (D, anti-codon, and T loops). Further hydrogen bonds mediate the characteristic L-shaped molecular structure. tRNAs have two regions of fundamental functional importance: the anti-codon, which is responsible for specific mRNA codon recognition, and the 3' end, to which the tRNAs corresponding amino acid is attached (by aminoacyl-tRNA synthetases). tRNAs cope with the degeneracy of the genetic code in two manners: having more than one tRNA (with a specific anti-codon) for a particular amino acid; and 'wobble' base-pairing, i.e. permitting non-standard base-pairing at the 3rd anti-codon position. Lineage: Eukaryota; Viridiplantae; Chlorophyta; Chlorophyceae; Sphaeropleales; Bracteacoccaceae. The record is from RNAcentral.